Hippocampus comes (tiger tail seahorse) is the source of this 73-nucleotide small nucleolar RNA. The record is from Ensembl. NCBI's taxonomy places the organism in Eukaryota, Metazoa, Chordata, Actinopteri, Syngnathiformes, Syngnathidae.
UCGUGAUGAAAUCUCGAGUGAAACGGCUGGAAUUACCGGCAGAUGCUCAGUGGUGACACUUGCUCUUCUGAAC